Molecule: RNA transcript, 1725 nt
Organism: Bombus terrestris (buff-tailed bumblebee)
Lineage: Eukaryota; Metazoa; Arthropoda; Insecta; Hymenoptera; Apidae
Gene name: DNA polymerase delta subunit 2
Exons: 7
Source: RefSeq, a predicted model, not a curated record
UAUGAUUAUUUAAUUUUAGUGAAUAUGGUAAUAUAUUCAAUUUACUAAAACUACAGUGUAUUGUUAUAAAUAUCCAAUAAAAGCAUUUUCUGAAAUGGAAAUUCAACCGCAACCGACGUAUCAUCGCAAGUCAUGUGUAUUCGAAGACUUUAAAAAGUUUAAUAUUUCUGAACAACGUUUUGAACAGCAAUAUUGUAGUAUUUAUAAAGCAAGAUUAAAAGCAUUAAAAGAUCAUCUUUUGCAAAAAGCGAAAAUUAAGUGGGGGCACAAUAAAAUAGUUACUCUUGAACAACUUAGUGAAAGAAACGAAAAUGAUACUUGUAUUAUAAUAGGCACUUUAUACAAACAUCAAGAGUUGAAACCAUCGUUAUUACGCGAACUCAGUACCGAACUUCAAUUACAAACCCAACCAGCCAGAGCAAAUUAUGCGUCAUUUAAAGAUAUAUUGUACUUGGAAGAUGAAACAUUACGUAUUAAAUUGGUUGAUAAUCAUAUAAAUAUUCAAGAUGUAGUUACUGGUAUUGUUUGUGCUGUAUUGGGACAUGAUCUAAAGGAUGGUGAACUUUCAGUAAUAGAUUGGUGUUUGCCAGGAUGUUGUCCAAAAUUAUCAACAUUUGAUCGACCACUAGAAACGCAAGGAAAGAUUUUAAUAAUUUCAGGUCUAGAUCUAGCAAAUAAUUUACAAUCGUUAAGUACAGAUUUAUUAUUUGAAUGGAUCACUGGAAUGAUUGGUUGUGAAGAAGUUCAUAAAGAUGUGGCAUCUAUUGUGUGUAUUAUUAUAGCAGGAAAUAGUGUAAGGGGAUCUGUGGAGACCCACAAUUAUAAAGAUUAUUUUGAGACAAAUGCACAUGAUGCAGCGAUAUUUAAAGAGACUGCAAGCGUAACACAUAAAUUAGAUAACUUUCUUCACCCUAUCAUACAAUGUUGUCCCAUAAUAUUAAUGCCUGGAGAAUUUGAUCCAACGUGUCAUACAUUACCUCAACAACCACUUCAUCCAUGCAUUUUGCCACAAUGUUUCAGGUUUAAAAGUUUUUAUGGAGUUACUAAUCCAUGGAUUGGUAGUAUAAACUCUCGUAUUGUAGCUGGAUCCAGUGGUCAACCAAUUAUAGAUAUCAUGAAAGUUGCUGGACUUGUUGAUAUUUCACCAUUAAUGUGGUUAGAACGUACGUUACUUUGGCGACAUUAUGCACCAACUGCACCAGAUACUAUACCAGCUUAUCCAUCUAGCGAAAUUGAUCCAUUUAUUAUAACAGAAUGUCCUGAUAUAUAUUUUGUUGGUAAUAUGGAUAAGUACGAUACCAAAUUAUUCACAGGAUUGAAAAAUUUGGGCAAUGUGUAAAAAUUAUAUUUGUGACAUACACUUAUUACACACAUUCAUAAAAGGUACUAUAUAGAUAUGCAGCUACAGGUGGGCGUAUGACGUAAUUCGCCCACGCGGACAUUUCUAUAAUCACACCACUACUCAUGAAGGAGUCCAUGGUCCAAGACUAGCUGAAGCAUAAAAAUCCAUAGGAUAUGGCUUAUCAUUAUUAAAAUUUAUCAUUUUUAAAGCAGCAGCUCCUUCAUAUGGUGUGAGAAAAGGUUUUUCAAAUGCUGUUCCCCAAUCUAUACUUAAUCGUGGACAUGCAAUCUGUAAUAUAGGAAUAAUAAUGUACAUUUAUCAUAAUUAUGAAAAUAUAAUUAAGAGAACAAAUUUUAUAACUAUAAACAACCUGUAUAAAAGCA